UCGAGGGGUAUAGUAGCAAUACUAGAGACCGGCGCACGGGUGCGUAACGCGUAUGCAAUCUACCUUUCACAGAGGGAUAGCCCAGAGAAAUUUGGAUUAAUACCUCAUAGUAUUAUGAAGUGGCAUCACUUUAUAAUUAAAGUCACAACGGUGAAAGAUGAGCAUGCGUCCCAUUAGCUAGUUGGUAAGGUAACGGCUUACCAAGGCUACGAUGGGUAGGGGUCCUG
RNAcentral lists this ribosomal RNA (227 nucleotides) under uncultured Bacteroidota bacterium. RNAcentral's name for it is "uncultured Bacteroidetes bacterium partial 16S ribosomal RNA". It matches the Rfam family "Bacterial small subunit ribosomal RNA", at positions 62 to 294 of the family's 1533-position model. Lineage: Bacteria; Pseudomonadati; Bacteroidota. The record is from RNAcentral.